RNAcentral lists this ribosomal RNA (200 nucleotides) under uncultured bacterium. RNAcentral describes it as "partial 16S ribosomal RNA". It matches the Rfam family "Bacterial small subunit ribosomal RNA", at positions 8 to 200 of the family's 1533-position model. The record is from RNAcentral.
AGAGUUUGAUCCUGGCUCAGAACGAACGCUGGCGGCGUGCUUAACACAUGCAAGUCGAGUGCGCAGUUCCCGUAGCAAUACGGGGAUGGGCGCACGGCGCACGGGUGCGUAACACGUGGGCAAUCUGCCCUCCGAUGGGGAAUAACCCCGCGAAAGCGGGGCUAAUUCCGCAUAACAUUCCUGGGACUCUGGUCCGAGGA